This 808-nucleotide ribosomal RNA is filed under the name Engystomops petersi (Peters' dwarf frog). RNAcentral's name for it is "partial 16S ribosomal RNA". The stretch from base 246 to 362 matches the Rfam family "Bacterial large subunit ribosomal RNA", at positions 714 to 852 of the family's 2925-position model. The record is from RNAcentral. Lineage: Eukaryota; Metazoa; Chordata; Amphibia; Anura; Leptodactylidae.
GCUAAAAACUUAGCCUUANCCCUACAAUUAUAUUUACCCUAUUUUACUUACACAAAAUAAAACAUUCUUUAAGCUUAGUAAAGGAGAUAAAAAAGUUUUUUAGAGCUAUAAAAUAAGUACCGCAAGGGAAAAAUGAAAUAAAAAUGAAACAAAAUUCAAGCAUAAUAUAGUAGAGUUUUCCCCUCGUACCUUUUGCAUCAUGAUUCAACUAGUUUAACCACGCAAAAAGAAUUUAAGUUUGACUUCCCGAAACUAAGUGAGCUACUUCAGGGCAGCUAAAUGAGCCAACCCGUCUCUGUUGCAAAAGAGUGGGAUGACCCUUAAGUAGAGGUGAUAAACCUAACGAACUUAGUGAUAGCUGGUUAUUCAGAAAAAGAAUUUUAGUUCAACUUAAAAUUACAUAAAUAAAAUAAAAUAAAAUCUUAAUUUUAAAGCAAUUCAAAUAAGGUACAGCCUAUUUGAAACAGAAUACAAUCUAAACUAUAGGGUAAAUAUAAAAAAUUAAUGUAAUAAAGUAGGCCUAAAAGCAGCCAACUUUAAAAUAGCGUCAAAGCUUACUUCCAUAAUUUUUUAAUACUAUUAUUUACAAUGAACCCUUUAUUUUUACUGAAUAUUUCUAUAAAGUUAUAGAACCUUUUAUGUUGAAACUAGUAACAAGAAGUUAAACUUCUCCUCAAUAUAAGUAUAAGUCGACUAGGAUAAACCAUCGACAAUUAACGCUUAAAUUAAAUGUAUUAACUCCACAAGAAAAACUUACAUUACCCCACGUUAAUCUUACACCAGAACAUUUAAGGAAAGAUUNAAAAAA